GUGCUUGCUUUGGCAGCACAUAUACUAAAAUUGGAACAAUACAAACAUUAGCAUGGCCCCUGAGCAAGGAGGACACACAAAUUCGUGGAGCCUUCCAUAUUUUU
Small nuclear RNA from Kogia breviceps (pygmy sperm whale), 104 nucleotides. Lineage: Eukaryota; Metazoa; Chordata; Mammalia; Artiodactyla; Physeteridae. The record is from RefSeq and is a predicted model, not a curated record.